Molecule: unclassified non-coding RNA, 358 nt
Filed under: soil metagenome
Description: partial contains 5.8S ribosomal RNA, internal transcribed spacer 2, and large subunit ribosomal RNA
Rfam family: 5.8S ribosomal RNA (bases 1-120)
Source: RNAcentral
GAUGAAGAACGUAGCGAAAUGCGAUAAGUAAUGUGAAUUGCAGAAUUCAGUGAAUCAUCGAAUCUUUGAACGCACAUUGCGCCCGUCAGUAUUCUGGCGGGCAUGCCUGUUCGAGCGUCAUUACGCCCCUCAAGUCCCCUGUGGACUUGGUGUUGGGGAUCGGCGAGGCUGGUUUUCCAGCACAGCCGUCCCUUAAAUUAAUUGGCGGUCUCGCCGUGGCCCUCCUCUGCGCAGUAGUAAAACACUCGCAACAGGAGCCCGGCGCGGUCCACUGCCGUAAAACCCCCCAACUUUUCAUAGUUGACCUCGAAUCAGGUAGGACUACCCGCUGAACUUAAGCAUAUCAAUAAGCGGAGGA